AUUGAACGCUGGCGGCAUGCCUUACACAUGCAAGUCGAACGGCAGCACGGGUGCUUGCACCUGGUGGCGAGUGGCGAACGGGUGAGUAAUACAUCGGACAUGUCCUGUAGUGGGGGAUAGCCCGGCGAAAGCCGGAUUAAUACCGCAUACGAUCUAUGGAUGAAAGCGGGGGACCUUCGGGCCUCGCGCUAUAGGGUUGGCCGAUGGCUGAUUAGCUAGUUGGUGGGGUAAAGGCCUACCAAGGCGACGAUCAGUAGCUGGUCUGAGAGGCGACCAGCCACACUGGGACUGAGACACGGCCCAGACUCCUACGGGAGGCAGCAGUGGGGAAUUUUGGACAAUGGGCGAAAGCCUGAUCCAGCAAUGCCGCGUGUGUGAAGAAGGCCUUCGGGUUGUAAAGCACUUU
Molecule: ribosomal RNA, 406 nt
Filed under: Burkholderia cepacia
Lineage: Bacteria; Pseudomonadati; Pseudomonadota; Betaproteobacteria; Burkholderiales; Burkholderiaceae
Description: bacterial SSU rRNA
Rfam family: Bacterial small subunit ribosomal RNA
Source: RNAcentral